GGGCAUUUAGCUCAGUGGCAUGAGCACCUGCCUUGAAACCAGGCAGUCAUGCGUUCAAUACCCA
Transfer RNA from Cavia porcellus (domestic guinea pig), 64 nucleotides. It matches the Rfam family "tRNA". From Rfam's summary of the family: Transfer RNA (tRNA) molecules are approximately 80 nucleotides in length. The record is from Rfam. NCBI's taxonomy places the organism in Eukaryota, Metazoa, Chordata, Mammalia, Rodentia, Caviidae.